UACCUAACCCUCUAAGUUUGUCUUAGAGGUAUGGUACAAAAAACAUCAACGAUAAAGAUGGUCUUCUGACCGGCACUUCGUCGUUGAUGUCUAUGCUCGAAAGGGUAUAGAGUAGUUCCCGAAAGGGACUAUU
This 133-nucleotide small RNA is filed under the name unclassified sequences. Its description in RNAcentral is "LOOT RNA". It matches the Rfam family "LOOT RNA". From Rfam's summary of the family: Latescibacteria, OD1/Parcubacteria, OP11, TM7. Lineage (Microgenomates, aka OP11) The record is from Rfam by way of RNAcentral.